AGUCGAACGGGAUUGAGAAGCUUGCUUUUCAUGAGAGUGGCGCACGGGUGCGUAACACGUAUGUAACCUACCUUAAUCUGGGGGAUAGCCUCUCGAAAGAGAGAUUAAUACCGCAUAACAUUAUCGGAUAGCAUUUUUUGAUAAUCAAAUAUUUAUAGGAUUAAGAUGGGCAUGCGGAACAUUAGCUAGUUGGUAAGGUAAUGGCUUACCAAGGCUACGAUGUUUAGGGGAUCUGAGAGGAUGACCCCCCACACUGGUACUGAGACACGGACCAGACUCCUACGGGAGGCAGCAGUAAGGAAUAUUGGUCAAUGGGCGCAAGCCUGAACCAGCCAUGCCGCGUGCAGGAAGACGGCCCUACGGGUUGUAAACUGCUUUUGUACCGGAAUAAACCUUUUCACGUGUGAGAAGCUGAAUGUACGGUAAGAAUAAGGAUCGGCUAACUCCGUGCCAGCAGCCGCGGUAAUACGGAGGAUCCAAGCGUUAUCCGGAUUUAUUGGGUUUAAAGGGUGCGUAGGCGGUUCUUUAAGUCAGGGGUGAAAGACGGUAGCUUAACUAUCGCAGUGCCUUUGAUACUGAAGAACUUGAAUACACUUGAGGUAGGCGGAAUGUGACAAGUAGCGGUGAAAUGCAUAGAUAUGUCACAGAACACCAAUUGCGAAGGCAGCUUACUAAAGUGUCAUUGACGCUGAGGCACGAAAGCGUGGGGAUCAAACAGGAUUAGAUACCCUGGUAGUCCACGCCCUAAACGAUGAAUACUCGAUGUUGGCGAUAUACGGUCAGCGUCUAAGCGAAAGCGUUAAGUAUUCCACCUGGGGGAGUACGCCCGCAAAGGGUGAAACUCAAAGGAAUUGACGGGGGGCCCGCACAAGCGGAGGAGCAUGUGGGUUUAAUUCGAUGAUACGCGAGGAACCUUACCCGGGCUUGAAAGUU
RNAcentral lists this ribosomal RNA (933 nucleotides) under Mucilaginibacter sp. UA-VH0701. RNAcentral's name for it is "bacterial SSU rRNA". It matches the Rfam family "Bacterial small subunit ribosomal RNA", at positions 60 to 989 of the family's 1533-position model. The record is from RNAcentral. Lineage: Bacteria; Pseudomonadati; Bacteroidota; Sphingobacteriia; Sphingobacteriales; Sphingobacteriaceae.